GCCCCGGUGGAUCAAUGCAGAUCAUCCCUCCAUGUUGAUCCAAGCACACACGGGAGUUGGUACAGGGAAGAUGGGGGUUCGAAUCCUCCCCGGGGCA
Mycena rosella is the source of this 97-nucleotide non-coding RNA. Lineage: Eukaryota; Fungi; Basidiomycota; Agaricomycetes; Agaricales; Mycenaceae. The record is from the annotation of a GenBank genome assembly.